RNAcentral lists this ribosomal RNA (207 nucleotides) under uncultured delta proteobacterium. RNAcentral describes it as "partial 16S ribosomal RNA". It matches the Rfam family "Bacterial small subunit ribosomal RNA", at positions 568 to 774 of the family's 1533-position model. The record is from RNAcentral. Lineage: Bacteria; Deltaproteobacteria.
CGUGUAGGCGGCCAAGCAAGUCGGGUGUGAAAGCCCUCGGCUUAACCGAGGAAGUGCGCCCGAAACUACUUGGCUUGAGUACCGGAGAGGGUGGCGGAAUUCCCGGUGUAGAGGUGAAAUUCGUAGAUAUCGGGAGGAACACCAGUGGCGAAGGCGGCCACCUGGACGGAUACUGACGCUGAGACGCGAAAGCGUGGGUAGCAAACA